AUGAAAAGAACUUUGAAAAGAGAGUUAAAGAGUACCUGAAAUUGCUGAAAUGGAAGCAAAGGAAACCAGUGUUAUCUUGGCUCAUUUUUCUCCUGCUGCUUGCAACAGGGGCGCUGUGAGUCAAAAUAGGCCAGUAUGAAUUUGGAUCGGAACAAAAGCAAUGCUGUUCUGGUCUGGAUUGAGGUUAGCUCGUGUGAUGCUGGCGAAAUGGUUUUCUUUACCCCGUCUUGAAACACGGACCAAGGAGUCUAACAUAUGUGCGAGUAUAGGAGUGACAAACUCCCAUGCGUAAUGAAAGUAACAGUGGUAUUCAAUAUCCGCCGGCCACAAUCCUUCGGGAGAAAGGUCUGAGUGUGAGCAUACAUGUUGGGACCCGAAAGAUGGUGAACUAUGCCUGAAUAGGGUGAAGCCAGGGGAAACUCUGGUGGAGGCUCGUAUGCGGUUCUGACGUGCAAAUCGAUCGUCAAAUUUGGGUAUAGGGGCGAAAGACUAAUCGAACCAUCUAGUAGCUGGUUCCCUCCGAAAUUUCCCUCAGGAUAGCUGCAAUCAAUAGUAUCUUUAUCA
RNAcentral lists this ribosomal RNA (564 nucleotides) under Chaetoceros similis. RNAcentral describes it as "eukaryotic LSU rRNA". It matches the Rfam family "Eukaryotic large subunit ribosomal RNA", at positions 364 to 1006 of the family's 3401-position model. Lineage: Eukaryota; Bacillariophyta; Thalassiosirophyceae; Chaetocerotales; Chaetocerotaceae. The record is from RNAcentral.